CUCCUACGGGAGGCAGCAGUAGGGAAUAUUGGUCAAUGGGGSCAGCCUGAACCAGCCAUGCCGCGUGCAGGAUGAAGGCUCUCUGAGUUGUAAAYUGCUUUUGUACAGGAGCAAAAAAACCCCUGAGGGGGUUCUUGAGAGUACUGUAAGAAUAAGCACCGGCUAAUUCCGUGCCAGCAGCCGCGGUAAUAC
This 192-nucleotide ribosomal RNA is filed under the name uncultured Candidatus Cardinium sp. RNAcentral describes it as "partial 16S ribosomal RNA". It matches the Rfam family "Bacterial small subunit ribosomal RNA", at positions 336 to 526 of the family's 1533-position model. Lineage: Bacteria; Pseudomonadati; Bacteroidota; Cytophagia; Cytophagales; Amoebophilaceae. The record is from RNAcentral.